UGGGGAAGUGCGACCUGCGGCGGGUGGCGCGUGAACAUUCUGGCAAGCGGGGCUGCUGUGGGCUGCUGGGACGUUGUCGCGAGGUCAAGCGGCGGAGGGCGGCUAACGGCCUUUUGGCUAGCUUCUGCUUUUCUCCAGGUCCGGAAUGGAUCUCUCGCCCGCAAAGUUUGAGGAAGAGCAAAAAGAAUGUUGCUGCCAGUUGUAGAAAUUUACGUCAACUUAUUAACUAGUUAGGAACAUCUUGACUUGGAACAAAAGCUGCGUGAGAACAGAAACCUGGUUUGUCUCGUUCACAGCCACCCCAGAGCCUAGAACAGCACCUGCAACACAGUCCGCACUAACAGUAACUACAGAAUGAACCAGUGGACCUUGUCUCAGGGCCUUCCUACGAGACACGGAUGUUAUUAUAAAAAAAAGGCUAUGGACAAACAACCCAUGGAUUGUUCCCCUUUCUGAGGAUAUCAGAGGAAAUUGCUCAAAAGCCCUUGCCUUUGGCCUACCAAUUUCAAUCAGACCUCCCCACACCCACCCAGCACUUUAUUACUCUCUUUCUUCUUUGUUUUCCUUCAGCAUUUUCAGAAUGGUUUGCAGCUUAUUUGUAUUUGUUUAUUUCAAGUCUGAAUCGUGAGCUCCAGAAGGCAGGGACUGUGUCUGUUUUAUGUAGAGACAAUAUCUACAGCCUACGCUAUGAUGUGGGCUUCACGAUAUUGACUAAAAUUCACCUUGAAUUUUAUGAGCCAGAACUACCCUGAAGUCAUAGGAGAAAUGACUGAUGACUUGGGGACUGUGGAUAUCAGGCUAGUUGGGUGAUGAGCUAUUUUCGAGGGUAGGCAGCUACCCCAACACCCUGAAAUCAUAGCCCAUGGGGCGUGCUGCUCACAGACAGACCAGGGAUCGCUGCUGUUCCCCAGGCUGUCUGCAGCAGGAAGGAGCAAGAAGACAGUUAAGUUCACGUUCAUCUUGUAAUUUGAAGGUUCAGAUUAGUUUAUGAGCCAUGGCUGGUGUGGCUCAGAGGACUUUCAGCCUGUGAACUGAAAGUCUGCUGGUUCGAUUCGCAGUCAGGGCACAUGCCUGGCUUGUGGGCCAGGUCCCCAUUUGGGGGCGUGUGAGAGGCAACUGCUGGAUGUAUCACUCACACGUCCGUGUUUCCCUCCCUCCCUUUCUCUCUCCCUUCUUCUCUCUCUAAAAAUAAAUAAAAUCUUUUUAAAA
This is a long non-coding RNA of Phyllostomus hastatus (greater spear-nosed bat), 1209 nucleotides long. RefSeq lists it as uncharacterized. NCBI's taxonomy places the organism in Eukaryota, Metazoa, Chordata, Mammalia, Chiroptera, Phyllostomidae. The record is from RefSeq and is a predicted model, not a curated record. The transcript is spliced from 3 exons.